AGACUCACAUUAACUAACUGGCAACACUAAAUGAUUUAUCUGUUACACUGGCUGCUGCAAGCGGGAUAUAUCAGAGUGAACUGCUCCAAGGCAGGAGGCUCAGGAGGCCAAGGAACGGUUUACACUCAGAUCAUCUGAUCUGAAAUAUUUAAAAUUCAUUGAAUGCAACCAACAUUAUUCACCCUGCUUCUUAAACAUAGUCAUAGCUAGACUAUUGUCAUUGGUGCCAUUAAACUUCAAGGAGUCUCUCACAAACUGAUCCUUCUCACUUCUCUUACUUCCAAGCUAACUUUAAGAAAACUAGGCCAGAGAAGCCUCUUCCCAAUUUAAGUCAAAGACAUCAAGGAAUCCCCCAGAAAAAAACGAAGGAAAUGCAACAGGAAACCUUUCAAGAUUUCUAAAUAUUCUCCAAGAAGAUGGAUAGCAUGGAAGGUUUAAUGUUCUGAGUAGGUGACAGGUGAACAAAUCACAGGUCUUGAGUUUCUCUACCCUGCCUCUCUCUGGUAACGUCAUCUCCAGUACCAUCUGCUACCUACCAGCUAAACAGACCAACCACAUAAUGAGGUACCAGCUUCUACCCAGCUACCGUGACUAAAUCAGAACAAAAGAACUCAACGCCUCCUUCAACAAAGGGACACAAGUCUAAGCUGUCUUUGCUAAUUGCUGGGUUUCAGGUUGUCUGUUACAGAAUUUAAGUGAGCUGCAAACUUGCAUCCAUACUUAAUAGCUGUUGGAUAAAGAUAAUGCGAAUAAAAGAUAAAUGGAAACUGAAGGCAAUGAUGCUGUUCUCCUAAAAUGUGAGACAGUUUUCUUCUUGACAGCAAGUGGAGCCCAGCUCUGCAUCUCCCUCAGUCACUGGAGAAAGACUAACAUGCUUCAGAUUCAGUUGCUUUCCAGACAGACUUGAAAUGAUUCAAUGAAAUGAUUACUCCAUUCAUCUAUCACGUUUUAUUCUUAUUGUGUAACAAGUGAGACACUGUGGGUCAUUUUAAAGGAAAAGAGAAUAGUGGUAUAAUCCUAUUAAAGACAUCAGACUAUUUAAAAAUAGGACAGAUAUUAACAUCACCCUAAACUGUAAAUGAAUGUAUUUGUAAAGGUGUUUUAACUUUCCAGAGUGAAGCACAUUUUAUGUUGCUGUUUCUUUGCUACACCAUCACUAUCCUUAUCCAGCUAGUGCAGCCUGGUGUAUGAGUCAUAGGAAAUUAUAUUUCUUGCUUAUUAAAGUGGUUUGUCUCAGGAAUAUUUCAGAGUGUAUAUUUUUUUCACUCAUAAAGAUGUUGAGAGAAUAACUGGCAACCUAUUUAAAUGCCCUUUGCUUAAGAGAUGUCUAUUACAUUUGCUGGAGAUUUUUUAAAAUUUUAUUGCCUUUCUAAACUGUUAAUUAUGUAUCGAAAUGUAUUGCUGUCACCAGUCUAACAUGAACAAAGCAAUACAGUGAGCUGCCUGAGAUAUUUCAGCAUGGUAUUAAUUACAAGCAUAGUAAUAAAUGAAAAUUCUACAAACCUCUCCAAUUGCAUUUGUUUGUAACCCCAGUGGAUCAAUGUUUUAUAUUAGCACGUGGCAAAAAAUACCAUUCCAGGAACUCAGCAACUAAAUAUGAUCUAAACCCAGCAUCUUUGGGGCAGGGUAGCAUUUCUUGGAUUUAUAAUCUCACCAUUUGCUCCAAUCUGAAUGAGCUCCCUUGCUGUGUCUCAGCAAUACACCUAGUUUAAGACCAUGCAAGCAGCCCACUUUCCAGAAGAUGAUCAGCAAAGAAUGUGUUUUAUUCUGAUUUGGAAAACUGUCAAUCAUUGAUAAAUAAGAUCAGAUAACUAUUACUCUAUAAAAUUAGCUAAUUAUAUUUGCCUGAUUUGCAAGAAGAAUAAACAAUGUUUCUAAGGAAAAUAUUGAGGAUGAUUUACCCAGAUGUUAUAUACAAAUUGCUUUGUCAUUGAUACAGGCAAUUGGCUUCAGAAAUAAAUACAACCAUGUAACUGUGUGUGUGUGUGUACAUAUACACACACAUAUCUCAGACCUAAAUAAGAUAUACUUAGUCUUAGAUUUUUAGUUUAUAGGACCGUAGGUAUUUGAACAAUUCUGAAAACGCCUUUAUAGGUGUCAGAGAUGGAGGGUUUCAGAGUAGCAGCUGUGUAAGUCUGUUUUCAGAAAAAGAAAAGGAGUACUUGUGGCACCUUAGAGACUAACAAAUUUAUUUGAGCAUAAGUUUUUGUGAGCUACAGCUCACUUCAUCGGAUGCGUUCAGUGGAAAAUACAGAGAGGGAGGGGAAUCUUCAACCACAUGAUCUUCUCUCCAGAGUCCUGUUAAGUGUACUGAACUUAAAACAGAAACAAGAAGUGUGAAAUAUAGGUUUGAACAUGAUAUGUCAGAAAUGUAAAGGUUGUAAGCCUUUUUAGUAACCGAUAUUAAUAUUGUAUUAAAUGUGAUGAAAAGGUAGAUGUUAGGGAGAGGGGCUGGGCUCAUGUGCAAUUUUGUCAAGGCUUUAUCUGUGAUUAUGAUUCCAGAUGUAUCUACUCCCUGAGGAGAGGAAUGAAGUUGGCAUGUGACAGGUGUUUUAAGGUGUUUGGCACAGUUUCCCAAAGUGAUGACAAAAUCUUCAUUUUUAUUACAGUGAAUCAGUAAAGGAAAUACAAAUGGGUAGGUCAAUGGUUAUGUAUUUUAGAUAAAUAAUGGAUUAUUAUUUUAGGGAAUAUAGCUUUCUGUUGAUGUCUUUAAAUCUUCUAUCCUGAAUCAUCAUGCAUCUGUCAUUAAAUAACACUUGAAGUAGUAUGAUUUUAACAAAAUACAUAGUUCCUAGAUCAUACAAGUUAAAUAUCAUGCAGAGGAUAUGGGAGUCCAUGUAUGUUAUAAAAGUAAAUAUUGCAACAAGAUGUCUCUGCUGCAACUGCUCCUUACUGUUAAUCUAUUUAAAAUCUUGUCCGGAAUACUUCUAAAUUCUUUAAUUGCCAUUUUGCUAAUCUGGUUACUUUAUAAGACUGUACAGUUAAGGCUCAAAUGACUGCAGUAAAAUUCUUCAUAGGCAUACACUUCUUGCUUAUCAUAAACAGACAGAUUUUGUUUUAACAAAGCGGUGAAGGUAUUUUGUCUCACUGAAAACUCUUGUGUCUAAAUGCACAUAAAGAGUUUAGAUUGGAAAGUUCCUGCCCUCCCCCACUGCCCUUUUUCACUAUGUAAUAGUAUCAGUAAUUCUACUCUGACAGCAGGGCACCAAGAGCUGCAUUGCCAGGCAAACACUCUCUCAUAAACAUUUUACAAGUUCCAUAUCAACCAAUCCUAGAUGUUUUGGGGGCUGCCCUGAUUGGGUGUAUUAUGGAUUUGGUAAACACUGCUGCAUAACAAAAAUAGGGUUUGUAGUGAAAGACUCCACUAGCACUGCCUCUUCGGAAUAAUCAGAGACUAAGAAUAUGACUCAGUCCAUAUUUUACUUAGUUGCUAACUAAACCUUGUAUCCAGCUACAAAUAUUUAGAGAGAUGAGCUGAGUAUAUUCCUUUCAGUUUUACAACCAAAUUUAACCACAUCAGAAAGUACUUCAGAUUCCUAACACAAUAUUAGACUCAUUUAAUGUAAGGAAGUCUCCUUCAUUGGUUGUGAUUGGGAACAUUUUGUAUUUUAUAGGUGUAUUUGAGAGGUUAGCAGUAGGGGGGAAUUGUCUGUGGGAAAAUCUGUCUACAGUUGAAAUUUUUAGAUGCAGAAAUGUUGCUGAAAUGCCUAAAACAUUCACAUUCUUUCGUUAAUCAGUUCAUAACAGUAUCCUCUUACCUGGCAGACACACAUUGGAAAUCAAGUUUGUCUGUUUUUAAAAAUCAAACAUCAUUUCUCUUUUCUCUGUCAUUUGUCAUCUCCAAUGACAUCUACUUGUUUUUAUUUUUUGAUGUGCAAUAUCUGUCCUUUCAAGCUUUUCAUUUUCAAGGAUUCUACCUGGCCAGGUUUUUGUCACUAUAUUAAUUUAAAAAACCCUAAAUAUCAGCAACUUUAUUUUACUUUAUUUUUGCAUGUGUGAAAAUCAUUAGCAAGCCCCUUGCCAUUAAAUUAUGAACAAUGGUGUGCAAGUUUUCAUACUUUGAUUUUCUGUAGGAUAAUUUUUCUCAUAAAUAAUUAACCUGACUAAAUAAAAAUAAAGCUUGAGAUGCUUUACAAUAUAAUGCAGAAGCUAAUUGUUAGAGUAUGUGUUGAUUUUAUACUUGAGAUUUUAGAACUUAAUUUAUAUUUCAGUAUCAAAGAAAAAAUUCAUACAAUGUGUUUUAAAAUGAGAGCUAUGGUGCAUGUCAGAUAUGAAAUGUGUGGGCUUCAUGCAAGCACACUUGCUCACCAAAUUUACUUUAAAGCAGUACGUUUAAACAUUCAUAAAUUAAAAUGGCAGUUUGCAAUCAGAUACUGAUUACUACUUCAUUUGAAAUUUGCAAGAUAUCUGGCCAUUUAAUAUUUAUUCUCUAUUUCUCUGAACUGCUCUAAUUGCAAAUCUAGAUUUUGCAUUUAUUUCUCUUUGCAAACACUACAUUAUUCACCCUUUCUUGUGCUUAUUAAACAGUGCCACCUGCACCAAAUGAAACAAAGCUUCCCAUCAAUCUAUCCCAGCUGAAGAAUCCUGACUAUAUAUUAUCAUUAAUUGAAGAUCAAUUGAACACUUGAGUGUGAACCAGAUAUAGGAACCAGAAGAAAAAUGUAAAAAAUUUUAGGAUGUACUUUAAAGAGAUCUUUUAAUUUAAAAUGUUCUUUAAAACAGAGAACCUAACCUUGUACCAAGCGCUCUUCAUCAGCUCUGCACUGUGACUCAAGUAGCAAUUAGCAGGUCCUUUAAUUAAUUAACUAUUCCCUGUAUAUGGCUGAGAUGUCUGUGGAAAUAAUGUCAUUCUUCAUAAGUGAACACCAAAUCCAGUCAAUAUUUUGUCACUAAAAACCUUUAUCUGGACUAACCAAAUGCCCACCAUAUGUCUUAGAAAAACAGUUUCAAAAUACAGCAAGCAGGUAGGGAAACCAGAUGCAAACUUUACAAAACUAAUGCGGGCGAUUAGAGCGGACAAAAGUACAAAUGGAAAGGCUGAUACAGAUAUCAUAUGUAAGUAAAUAUGUGCAAUAGCAAUAAAUUAUAAUGGAGAACUAAGGAGAAAACUGAAAAAAUGAGAUCAUCUUAUUGACAUAUUUAUUUAAGUAAAAAGAAAUUAUUCAUUCAAGUUCUGUCACUAAAAAAAAUGAAUAUAGUGCAUCCUUUAAAAUGUUAUGUGCUUUCUUCAAUAUACUGCUUAUCUUGAACAUUGUCAGCUCUCAAACAAGCACAGAUUAAUUAAGUGGCAGUUCAGACACAAUAAGGUGAAAGGCCAUUUCCAACCAAUCAGUGACAUUUUGCUAAGUUUAUGCUAUCUGAAGUUUUCAUAUAAGUACAAGUGGGGCUGGUUAUUUUUUGUGUCAUUUGAAUUUGGAAAAAUAUUAAGAUAUGUUUAUAUAUACCAAAUAUGAAAAUGAUUGAAAAUAUGUGGGAUAUAUUCAAUGUGUACACUGUUAAUAUUUCCAUAAGUUGCAGUUUCUGUAUAUAUAAAUCUGUAGCUAUAGAUUUGUGUGUUUAUAUGUGCAUAUACGUAACAUAUCUCUAUGUUAAAUAAAAAAUUUAUAAAAAAUAGGUGCGUGUUUAUAUAUACAGACACAGAAAUACUGAGACUUAUUCAAAGCUGAAUAUUUGUGAGCAUUAUUUUUAGGUUCAUUAGUUUUCUUUAUAUAUAAUAACUUUAUCUUACAAGAUUUCUGUAUGCAGAAUAGGGAUUGUCAAUUUACUUAAUUUACAGCAUAAUAAAACUCAAAGUAGACCUCUUAUAUGAUUUUACAAGAAUUACACAUUAGGCUCUCUCUUUUACCAUGUGGAAUAAUUUGGUUUGCAAAACAAAUUUUUUAGCUACAGUAAAUUAAAAACCAAAACCAAAAAAAUGAUACAAAAUUAUACAUUUUGAAGACAUUUUAGCUAUCUAUUGGACAUAAUAUAAAUUAUUAAGAAACACAAAAGGACAACUUUAAAUAUUCUGGUUUACUUGCCAAAUAUACAGAUCUACUAACAAAAAGUAUGUAAUUAGAACCUCUUAUAAAAAAAAACCUAAACAGGAUUUUUUUGUUUUUUGGUUUUUACCAGAACAAAUGAAAAUAGCUGGAUUUGUCUAUGGUUUGAUAUUCUAUAGUAGUGACAGAAAUAAAGAAUUCUGUUAUCAUCUAUUCUAUUACACCAAUAUUAUUGCAAGUGCAGUUAAAGAAAUAUAUUGUGGCAUAAUUCAAAAUGCAAGGAAAGGUGUGAGGACCAUCAGAUAAGCUAUGAUUGCAUCUCUGUUUUUCCUGUGUAAAUCUGCUCUUAUCAAUUAUUCAGCAUUUAUGUUAUACAAAAACUAUGUCCUAAAUUUUGAAAUUGCUGUUUAUAAUUUACCAAUGACAGUAGAAAAGAUGAAAUUGUAACCUCAGUAUUUGGUGUUCUUGUGUAAUAAUAUACAGCACACAUUUUCCAAUCGGUUUGGCAAUGAAUCCACUAUUUUCAUACAUCUGUGUCAAACAAAGGUAGACUCUAAUGCAAUUUCUUACUGUUCAUUUCCCUGAAUCUUUUGGGAUAUAAAGAAUCGUGCACAAAUACUUAACAGUCUGAUCAAUAACCAUUGACCGUUUUGAGGUCCUCGUACCCUAACAAGCACAGCUUGAUCAUGUAUAUUUGAUCAUUGGAAAAAUUCAAAGCACCUUGGUAUAGCAGAGCAAGCCAUUCUGUAGUAUCUUUUUUGUUUCUUAAAGACUAUAUGCACCAUAAUUUAACUGUAUCAUUGAUGGAAACUUAUUGCUCAUGUAUUUGAUGCACAAGAUAAUUAAUUACAAUACUAUAUAUGUAUCCAUAAUAUUUUUUAUCAAUAGCAAACAUAAAAUACUGUUCUAACAUUUUAGGAGAGGAAAGUGUGGAUGUGUCUAUGGAUUCAAUGGACCCCAGAGUGUAUGUGUAAAAAGCCCUAUCGUUAUAAAUCUUGCAUUCCUGUUAAGUGUUGGCAUGCAUGUUACACAGAGGUGUGUUUAUUUUAGUGGAAAUAUUGUCAUAAAAUCCUUUCCCUUGCUAUCUUUUAAAAAAUAUAUGUUCACAUACAUAUAAAAUAAAUGAAUAUGAAAGCUCAA
This is a long non-coding RNA of Caretta caretta (loggerhead turtle), 7121 nucleotides long. RefSeq lists it as uncharacterized. Lineage: Eukaryota; Metazoa; Chordata; Testudines; Cheloniidae. The record is from RefSeq and is a predicted model, not a curated record.